UUUGAUGGCGACCGGCGCACGGGUGAGUAACACGUAUCCAACCUGCCGAUGACUCGGGGAUAGCCUUUCGAAAGAAAGAUUAAUACCCGAUGGCAUAGUUCUUCCGCAUGGUGGAACUAUUAAAGAAUUUCGGCCAUCGAUGGGGAUGCGUUCCAUUAGGUUGUUGGCGGGGUAACGGCCCACCAAGCCUUCGAUGGAUAGGGGUUCUGAGAGGAAGGUCCCCCACAUUGGAACUGAGACACGGUCCAAACUCCUACGGGAGGCAGCAUG
This 270-nucleotide ribosomal RNA is filed under the name uncultured bacterium. Its description in RNAcentral is "partial 16S ribosomal RNA". It matches the Rfam family "Bacterial small subunit ribosomal RNA", at positions 84 to 353 of the family's 1533-position model. The record is from RNAcentral.